UGAGAAGAGGAAGGAUGGUAGGAG
RNAcentral lists this non-coding RNA (24 nucleotides) under Cricetulus griseus (Chinese hamster). The record is from RNAcentral. Lineage: Eukaryota; Metazoa; Chordata; Mammalia; Rodentia; Cricetidae.